Molecule: ribosomal RNA, 1343 nt
Filed under: uncultured bacterium
Lineage: Bacteria
Description: 16S ribosomal RNA
Rfam family: Bacterial small subunit ribosomal RNA
Source: RNAcentral
GACGAACGCUGGCGGCGUGCUUAACACAUGCAAGUCGAACGGAAAGGCCCUGCUUUUGUGGGGUGCUCGAGUGGCGAACGGGUGAGUAACACGUGAGUAACCUGCCCUUGACUUUGGGAUAACUUCAGGAAACUGGGGCUAAUACCGGAUAGGAGCUCCUGCUGCAUGGUGGGGGUUGGAAAGUUUCGGCGGUUGGGGAUGGACUCGCGGCUUAUCAGCUUGUUGGUGGGGUAGUGGCUUACCAAGGCUUUGACGGGUAGCCGGCCUGAGAGGGUGACCGGCCACAUUGGGACUGAGAUACGGCCCAGACUCCUACGGGAGGCAGCAGUGGGGAAUAUUGCACAAUGGGCGGAAGCCUGAUGCAGCAACGCCGCGUGCGGGAUGACGGCCUUCGGGUUGUAAACCGCUUUCGCCUGUGACGAAGCGUGAGUGACGGUAAUGGGUAAAGAAGCACCGGCUAACCACGUGCCAGCAGCCGCGGUGAUACGUAGGGUGCGAGCGUUGUCCGGAUUUAUUGGGCGUAAAGGGCUCGUAGGUGGUUGAUCGCGUCGGAAGUGUAAUCUUGGGGCUUAACCCUGAGCGUGCUUUCGAUACGGGUUGACUUGAGGAAGGUAGGGGAGAAUGGAAUUCCUGGUGGAGCGGUGGAAUGCGCAGAUAUCAGGAGGAACACCAGUGGCGAAGGCGGUUCUCUGGGCCUUUCCUGACGCUGAGGAGCGAAAGCGUGGGGAGCGAACAGGCUUAGAUACCCUGGUAGUCCACGCUGUAAACGGUGGGUACUAGGUGUGGGGUCCAUUCCACGGGUUCCGUGCCGUAGCUAACGCUUUAAGUACCCCGCCUGGGGAGUACGGCCGCAAGGCUAAAACUCAAAGGAAUUGACGGGGCCCCGCACAAGCGGCGGAGCAUGCGGAUUAAUUCGAUGCAACGCGUAGAACCUUACCUGGGUUUGACAUGGAUCGGGAGCGCUCAGAGAUGGGUGUGCCUCUUUUGGGGUCGGUUCACAGGUGGUGCAUGGCUGUCGUCAGCUCGUGUCGUGAGAUGUUGGGUUAAGUCCCGCAACGAGCGCAACCCUUGUUCACUGUUGCCAGCACGUUAUGGUGGGGACUCAGUGGAGACCGCCGGGGUCAACUCGGAGGAAGGUGGGGAUGACGUCAAGUCAUCAUGCCCCUUAUGUCCAGGGCUUCACGCAUGCUACAAUGGCUGGUACAGAGAGUGGCGAGCCUGUGAGGGUGAGCAAAUCUCGGAAAGCCGAUCUCAGUUCGGAUUGGGGUCUGCAACUCGACCUCAUGAAGUCGGAGUCGCUAGUAAUCGCAGAUCAGCAACGCUGCGGUGAAUACGUUCCCGGG